UACGGGGGGGGCAAGCGUUGUUCGGAAUUACUGGGCGUAAAGGGCUCGUAGGCGGCCAACUAAGUCAGACGUGAAAUCCCUCGGCUUAACCGGGGAACUGCGUCUGAUACUGGAUGGCUUGAGUUUGGGAGAGGGAUGCGGAAUUCCAGGUGUAGCGGUGAAAUGCGUAGAUAUCUGGAGGAACACCGGUGGCGAAGGCGGCAUCCUGGACCAACACUGACGCUGAGGAGCGAAAGCCAGGGGAGCAAACGGG
This 253-nucleotide ribosomal RNA is filed under the name uncultured bacterium. Its description in RNAcentral is "partial 16S ribosomal RNA". It matches the Rfam family "Bacterial small subunit ribosomal RNA", at positions 524 to 776 of the family's 1533-position model. The record is from RNAcentral. RNAcentral also lists the same sequence under 2 other names.